RNAcentral lists this ribosomal RNA (200 nucleotides) under Pseudoalteromonas porphyrae. RNAcentral's name for it is "partial 16S ribosomal RNA". It matches the Rfam family "Bacterial small subunit ribosomal RNA", at positions 1339 to 1533 of the family's 1533-position model. The record is from RNAcentral. Lineage: Bacteria; Pseudomonadati; Pseudomonadota; Gammaproteobacteria; Alteromonadales; Pseudoalteromonadaceae.
UAAUCGCGUAUCAGAAUGACGCGGUGAAUACGUUCCCGGGCCUUGUACACACCGCCCGUCACACCAUGGGAGUGGGUUGCUCCAGAAGUAGAUAGUCUAACCCUCGGGAGGACGUUUACCACGGAGUGAUUCAUGACUGGGGUGAAGUCGUAACAAGGUAGCCCUAGGGGAACCUGGGGCUGGAUCACCUCCUUAUACGA